GUGCCAGCAGCCGCGGUAAUACGGAGGGUGCAAGCGUUAUCCGGAUUUAUUGGGUUUAAAGGGUGCGCAGGCGGGGCCUUAAGUCAGUGGUGAAAUCUCUUCGCUUAACGAAGAAACUGCCAUUGAUACUGAGGUUCUUGAAUCUAGUUGACGUUAGUGGAAUGUGUCAUGUAGCGGUGAAAUGCUUAGAUAUGACACAGAACACCGAUCGCGAAGGCAGCUAACGAAGCUAGUAUUGACGCUCAGGCACGACAGCAUGGGGAGCAAACAGGAUUAGAUACCCCCGUAGUCC
RNAcentral lists this ribosomal RNA (292 nucleotides) under uncultured bacterium. RNAcentral describes it as "partial 16S ribosomal RNA". It matches the Rfam family "Bacterial small subunit ribosomal RNA", at positions 505 to 796 of the family's 1533-position model. The record is from RNAcentral.